This 388-nucleotide ribosomal RNA is filed under the name uncultured eukaryote. Its description in RNAcentral is "partial 18S ribosomal RNA". It matches the Rfam family "Eukaryotic small subunit ribosomal RNA", at positions 592 to 976 of the family's 1831-position model. The record is from RNAcentral.
CAAUAGCGUAUAUUAAAGUUGUUGCAGUUAAAAAGCUCGUAGUUGGAUUUCUGAUCGAGACAUCAGGUCGGGUCCGAGAGGAUCAUGUACUUUGAUUUUGUUUUGAUCAUCCUUGGGGAGAGCAUUUCUGGCAUUCAGUUGUCGGGAUUGGGAUCCUCAUCGUUUACUGUGAAAAAAUUAGAGUGUUCAAAGCAGGCCUCGGCCUCUGAAUACAUUAGCAUGGAAUAAUAAGAUAGGACUUUGGUGGUCUAUUUUGCUGGUUUGCACGCCAAAGUAAUGAUUAAUAGGGAUAGUUGGGGGUAUUCGUAUUCAAUUGUCAGAGGUGAAAUUCUUGGAUUUAUGGAAGACGAACUACUGCGAAAGCAUUUACCAAGGAUGUUUUCAUUAA